Vitis vinifera (wine grape) is the source of this 674-nucleotide long non-coding RNA. RefSeq lists it as uncharacterized. The transcript is spliced from 3 exons. Lineage: Eukaryota; Viridiplantae; Streptophyta; Magnoliopsida; Vitales; Vitaceae. The record is from RefSeq and is a predicted model, not a curated record.
ACACAUUAGCUUAUGCAUUUGCACCAUUUAUAUAUGUGAGUACUAAUGUUAUUUUAUAAUUGAUCGAUUAGUGUCCAAGACAAGAAGGAGGGUUCGAAUGUGGCUACUUUGUUAUGAGAUUCAUUAAAGAGAUAAUUUUUUAUCCUACAAUUAUUGCUUCAAAGUUUUGUGAUAAAAAAAACAUAUUCUCAAGUAGAAUUAUAUUUCCAUUUAUUCAUCAGAAGAAGCGCCCUUCGAUGAAAUUAGAGGAGAAUGGGCUACUUUUGUGCUACAACUAAUCAUGAAUCAUGUUAAUGCAUCAUGAUCACCAUGCAUGGUAUACACUCUUGGGAUGGUGAAAUAGAGAAUAAAAAGAAAGAAGAAGGCAACAAGAUUUUGGGUUUUUAAAUGCAACUCUUAUGUUAUACGUUGUAGGACAUAAACGUUACUUUAAUUGCAACUGAGAAAUUUAGAUUUUUAGAUGGGACUUUUAUGUCAUUUUAUGGUUAGCCGGUUUUAUGCUUAGGAAAUGGAGGUAUACAUGAAUCUUGGGAUCUUUAACAUUUCUAAAUCAUGUUUUGGUAUGUAUUCACUCUUCUUUUUUAGUUUUGAUGGGUUUGAUAUGUUGGACGUACUAUCCUUUUGUGAACAUUUGAUAUACAAAUAUUAUUAGAUGAUCAAUGUAUUAUGAGUUA